Molecule: long non-coding RNA, 734 nt
Filed under: Dasypus novemcinctus (nine-banded armadillo)
Lineage: Eukaryota; Metazoa; Chordata; Mammalia; Cingulata; Dasypodidae
Description: lncRNA (ENSDNOG00000051317.1)
Source: RNAcentral
GCUGCUCCAUGGGCUCUGGCGUUAGAGACUGUGGACAGACCACCACACUGGUCUGAGGGGUCCCAGGACUUUAAAAAGAGUGCGGGCUGCAGACUGCUGGGUGGGGCCCUCAGAUCCGCCGGCUGGCCCCUCCGUGCCCUCGUGCCUACCUGUUGGCCCUGCCCGCCCACCAGCCUCUGCCCCGCAGCUCUCGCCCCUGCCCCUCUGGGGCACCCGAUCCCACACCUGCACAUCAGGGAGCUGCUCCCAGGUCUGCCCAUGCUUGGGGGCUCAGCUGCCCUGCUCUGAUGCGCUGCCCACGCUGCCCACCCGCAGAUGAUGGCAUUUCUGAAACCCACAUGAAUUGUGUCACCCCCUGCAUGACCACGCCUGGGGAGGUCCUGCACCCGUCCACGACACUCAGUGCACGAUCUUAACAGAUGAGCAAAUGAAGGCUCUCUCUGCAAAGCCAGCCGGGAUGCAUUGCCUCAAGUCAGCCACCAGAUGGCAGCAGAGAACAAGACACCUGCUGGGUGGAGCCCAGGUGGCGCACAGGGUUGGCUCAUCCACAUUGUACAGGUGGAGAACCUGCAGCUCUGGAAGAGGGAACCACUGCCAAGGCCACCCAUCCCAGAAGUGAUGGAGUUGGGAUUUGAACCCAGUUCUACCUCCCUCUAACCCCUAUGGAUUUCCUCUAGGUUGGUGAAUCAGUGACAAAGCUUCAAUCAUACCAAAGAGAAAUUUAAAAACCAUGA